AUCUUCCUUUUUGUAUUUUUGUAGGAUUUAAAUUUUAAGAUUCUCUUUUUAAUGCUGUUGAAUUUGGUAUAUA
Biomphalaria pfeifferi is the source of this 73-nucleotide non-coding RNA. The record is from the annotation of a GenBank genome assembly. Lineage: Eukaryota; Metazoa; Mollusca; Gastropoda; Planorbidae.